AGGUCUUAGAGUUACUCACCUUUCUUUAUCUUUGGUUGAUAAAAAGCAUAGCAGCACCCUCAACAGUGUUUCUACCAGAGCAUGUUAUCCAGAGGUAUAAAAAGGUCCUGCAGUACAUCGAUAAGGGAGUCACCAAAACCCUGGCUUACCGCAAGUGUGGGAUUGACCGAAAAACCAUUGUUGACACUGCAGCAAUAGCGGAGCUGGAGGCGUGUGACACUGAAGCCUACAAGACCUUGCGUGAAAAUUUUCAUAGAGGGCAAAAACUGUCACAAUUUGCAGAGAAAUGCAGGGAAAUUUGCAAAAAGAGCCACUUCAAACUUUGAUUGAAGAUAAAAAGAAAAAUGGCCAGCUAAUUGACCUCUGUCACAGACAAAAAUAACUUUUGUUCACAUGUGUGUGUUGGCAAGGUUGAAGUUCAGGCAUCGAGACGUUUUAUAGUUUUUAUAGUCAGUUUUUUUUUUUAUUUGGUCUAACAGGUUUGGACUUAAAACAAUGUUUUCUUUUUUU
Esox lucius (northern pike) is the source of this 510-nucleotide long non-coding RNA. The record is from Ensembl. NCBI's taxonomy places the organism in Eukaryota, Metazoa, Chordata, Actinopteri, Esociformes, Esocidae.